GGGGAAAAAAGUCAUUAGCUUAGAAUAUGAAGCCUAUCUACCCAUGGUGGAAAAUGAAGAUUUGUAGUGACAUUAGGCAGAAAUGACCAAACACAUAGCAGUGUUCCAUAGACUUGGAUGUUUGCUGAGUCAAUGAAAGGACUCCUCCAUCUUCAUGCCCAUUAAAUGGUUUAGUGGAUAGAUGCUGACAAACUAGACUCAACAUCAGUCUCAGCAUCUCCUCUGCUGAACAUAACUGGGCUUGGUUCCAGUGUCAGAAGCAAGCAUAAUCAUUGCUGUGUCCUCAGUCCACAGGGCUGCAUCUCUUGAAGCUGUGAGCUAUGCCAUUGAUAAUUUAAAAGCCAAGGUGCCCAUUUGUAAAAAGGGCAUUUAUAUAAUAUCGCUUUUCCAAGGUGAAAUAUGAAAUAUACAUGCCCGAAAGAAUGCAUCACAAUCCAGUAAGC
Long non-coding RNA from Carlito syrichta (Philippine tarsier), 443 nucleotides. RefSeq lists it as uncharacterized. Lineage: Eukaryota; Metazoa; Chordata; Mammalia; Primates; Tarsiidae. The transcript is spliced from 4 exons. The record is from RefSeq and is a predicted model, not a curated record.